UAACAAGGAUUCCCCUAGUAACGGCGAGUGAAGCGGGAUGAGCUCAAAUUUGUAAUCUGGCGGCCUCUGGCCGUCCGAGUUGUAGUCUGGAGAAGCGUUUUCCGCGUCGGACCGUGUACAAGUCCCUUGGAACAGGGCGUCGUAGAGGGUGAGAAUCCCGUCUUUGACACGGACUGCCGAUGCUUUGUGAUGCGCUCUCGAAGAGUCGAGUUGUUUGGGAAUGCAGCUCAAAACGGGUGGUAAAUUCCAUCUAAAGCUAAAUAUGGGCGAAAGACCGAUAGCGAACAAGUACCGUGAGGGAAAGAUGAAAAGCACUUUGGAAAGAGAGUUAAACAGUACGUGAAAUUGUUGAAAGGGAAACGCUUGAAGUCAGUCGCGUCUCCCGGGACUCAGCCUAGCCUUCUUGCUUGGUGUACUUCCUGGGACGACGGGCCAGCAUCGAUUUUGACCGUCGGAGAAAGGCUUUGGGAAUGUGGCACCUUUGGGUGUGUUAUAGCCCUCGGUCGUAUGCGACGGUCGGGAUCGAGGACCGCAGCACGCCUUUUUGGCCGGGGUUCGCCCACGUACGUGCUUAGGAUGCUGGCGUAAUGGCUUUAAGCGACCCGUCUUGAAAC
This 614-nucleotide ribosomal RNA is filed under the name Gautieria sp. RNAcentral's name for it is "partial large subunit ribosomal RNA". It matches the Rfam family "Eukaryotic large subunit ribosomal RNA", at positions 66 to 660 of the family's 3401-position model. Lineage: Eukaryota; Fungi; Basidiomycota; Agaricomycetes; Gomphales; Gomphaceae. The record is from RNAcentral.